This is a non-coding RNA of Kogia breviceps (pygmy sperm whale), 829 nucleotides long. NCBI's taxonomy places the organism in Eukaryota, Metazoa, Chordata, Mammalia, Artiodactyla, Physeteridae. The record is from RefSeq and is a predicted model, not a curated record.
CCUGGUCACCCUAUCAUCUUCUGUGAGCCCCUGAAGAACAAAGACCACAGUAAGUGAUCAGUGUUGUAUCCCCAGUACCUGUCAUGAUGCCUGGAGCAUGAAGGCAUUCAGUAAAGAUUCUUUUCCAUUAUAGGUUAUUAUAAGAUAUUGAGUAUAAUUUCCUGUGCUGUACACCAUGUGGCUGACAGGGUCCUGGUGUUCUGGCCAAGUGUCAGGUCUGAGCCUCUUAGGUGAGACAGUGGAGUUCAGGACAUUGGUCCACCAGAGAACUCCCAGCCCCACAUAAUAUCAAUCAGCAAGAGCUUUCCCAGAGAUCUCUGUCUUAAUGCUAAGACCCAGCUCCACUCAACGACCAGCAAGCUACAGUGAUGGACACCCUAUGUCAGACAACUAGCAAGACAGGAACACAACCCCACUCAUUAGAAGAGAGGCUGCCUAAAAUCAUAAUAAGUUCACAAACACCCCAAAACACACCACCAGAUGUGGCCCUGCCCACCAGGAAGACAAGAUCCAGCCUCAUCCACAAGAACACAGGCACCAGUCCCCUCCACCAGGAAGCCUACACAACCCACUGAACCAACCUUACCCACUGGGGGCAGACACCAAAAACAAGGGGAACUACAAACCUGCAGCCUGCAAAAAGGAGACCCCAAACACAGUAGGUUAAGCAAAAUGAGAAGACAGAGAAAUACACAACAGAUUAAGAAGCAAAGUAAAAACCCACCAGACCAAACAAAUGAAGAGGAAAUAGGCAGUCUACCUGAAAAAGAAUUCAGAGCAAUGAUAGUAAAGAUGAUCCAAAAUCUUGGAAAUAGAAUGGAGAAAAUAC